RNAcentral lists this ribosomal RNA (490 nucleotides) under uncultured bacterium. Its description in RNAcentral is "partial 16S ribosomal RNA". It matches the Rfam family "Bacterial small subunit ribosomal RNA", at positions 30 to 507 of the family's 1533-position model. The record is from RNAcentral.
AUUGAACGCUGGCGGCAGGCCUAACACAUGCAAGUCGAACGGUAACAGGAAACAGCUUGCUGUUUCGCUGACGAGUGGCGGACGGGUGAGUAAUGUCUGGGAAACUGCCUGAUGGAGGGGGAUAACUACUGGAAACGGUAGCUAAUACCGCAUAACGUCGCAAGACCAAAGAGGGGGACCUUCGGGCCUCUUGCCAUCGGAUGUGCCCAGAUGGGAUUAGCUAGUAGGUGGGGUAACGGCUCACCUAGGCGACGAUCCCUAGCUGGUCUGAGAGGAUGACCAGCCACACUGGAACUGAGACACGGUCCAGACUCCUACGGGAGGCAGCAGUGGGGAAUAUUGCACGAUGGGCGCAAGCCUGAUGCAGCCAUGCCGCGUGUAUGAAGAAGGCCUUCGGGUUGUAAAGUACUUUCAGCGGGGAGGAAGGGAGUAAAGUUAAUACCUUGACUCAUUGACGUUACCCGCAGAAGAAGCACCGGCUAACUCCGUG